Long non-coding RNA from Syngnathus acus (greater pipefish), 189 nucleotides. RefSeq lists it as uncharacterized. Lineage: Eukaryota; Metazoa; Chordata; Actinopteri; Syngnathiformes; Syngnathidae. The transcript has 3 exons. The record is from RefSeq and is a predicted model, not a curated record.
CUGAUUUGAAGACGUUCAUGUUUCCAAGACCAUGGACAGACUGUACACAAAUGACAAUGACAACGUUCAAUAUGCAUGCUCGUGUGACUCGUGCAGAGGGCCCUCAGGAAGACUGCUCUGAUAGCGCUGAGUAAUCCCAAGGUCUACAAUGGGUGGUGCCUGAUGUCCAUCGAGUUCAUCAUUGUGGAA